This is a non-coding RNA of Choiromyces venosus 120613-1, 88 nucleotides long. NCBI's taxonomy places the organism in Eukaryota, Fungi, Ascomycota, Pezizomycetes, Pezizales, Tuberaceae. The record is from the annotation of a GenBank genome assembly.
CCCUUUGUGGUGUACGGUAGUUGGUAUCACACCCGGCUGCAAUAUUCAGAUCACCGGUUGGUCGCCAGUUCGACUCUGGUCGAAGUGA